This 326-nucleotide ribosomal RNA is filed under the name uncultured eukaryote. RNAcentral describes it as "partial 18S ribosomal RNA". It matches the Rfam family "Eukaryotic small subunit ribosomal RNA", at positions 1470 to 1796 of the family's 1831-position model. The record is from RNAcentral.
CCCUUAGAUGUUCUGGGCUGCACGCGCGCUACACUGAUGCGUUCAACAAGUUGGACCUUGUCCGAGAGGAAAUCGGGGGAAUCUUUUGAAAACGUAUCGUGAUGGGGAUAGAUUAUUGUAAUUAUUAAUCUUCAACGAGGAAUUCCUAGUAAGCAUGAAUCAUCAGCUCGUGCUGAUUACGUCCCUGCCCUUUGUACACACCGCCCGUCGCUCCUACCGAUUGAGUGACCCGGUGAAUUAACCAGAUUGUGGCGAGGGUAGUUUUCUGCUAUUGCUACGAAAAGGUUUGUGAACCUUAUCACUUAGAGGAAGGAGAAGUCGUAACA